GACGCUGGCGGCGUGCCUAAUACAUGCAAGUCGAACGAGUUCUCGUUGAUGAUCGGUGCUUGCACCGAGAUUCAACAUGGAACGAGUGGCGGACGGGUGAGUAACACGUGGGUAACCUGCCCUUAAGUGGGGGAUAACAUUUGGAAACAGAUGCUAAUACCGCAUAGAUCCAAGAACCGCAUGGUUCUUGGCUGAAAGAUGGCGUAAGCUAUCGCUUUUGGAUGGACCCGCGGCGUAUUAGCUAGUUGGUGAGGUAAUGGCUCACCAAGGCGAUGAUACGUAGCCGAACUGAGAGGUUGAUCGGCCACAUUGGGACUGAGACACGGCCCAAACUCCUACGGGAGGCAGCAGUAGGGAAUCUUCCACAAUGGACGCAAGUCUGAUGGAGCAACGCCGCGUGAGUGAAGAAGGCUUUCGGGUCGUAAAACUCUGUUGUUGGAGAAGAAUGGUCGGCAGAGUAACUGUUGUCGGCGUGACGGUAUCCAACCAGAAAGCCACGGCUAACUACGUGCCAGCAGCCGCGGUAAUACGUAGGUGGCAAGCGUUAUCCGGAUUUAUUGGGCGUAAAGCGAGCGCAGGCGGUUUUUUAAGUCUGAUGUGAAAGCCCUCGGCUUAACCGAGGAAGCGCAUCGGAAACUGGGAAACUUGAGUGCAGAAGAGGACAGUGGAACUCCAUGUGUAGCGGUGAAAUGCGUAGAUAUAUGGAAGAACACCAGUGGCGAAGGCGGCUGUCUGGUCUGUAACUGACGCUGAGGCUCGAAAGCAUGGGUAGCGAACAGGAUUAGAUACCCUGGUAGUCCAUGCCGUAAACGAUGAAUGCUAGGUGUUGGAGGGUUUCCGCCCUUCAGUGCCGCAGCUAACGCAUUAAGCAUUCCGCCUGGGGAGUACGACCGCAAGGUUGAAACUCAAAGGAAUUGACGGGGGCCCGCACAAGCGGUGGAGCAUGUGGUUUAAUUCGAAGCAACGCGAAGAACCUUACCAGGUCUUGACAUCUUUUGAUCACCUGAGAGAUCAGGUUUCCCCUUCGGGGGCAAAAUGACAGGUGGUGCAUGGUUGUCGUCAGCUCGUGUCGUGAGAUGUUGGGUUAAGUCCCGCAACGAGCGCAACCCUUAUGACUAGUUGCCAGCAUUUAGUUGGGCACUCUAGUAAGACUGCCGGUGACAAACCGGAGGAAGGUGGGGAUGACGUCAAAUCAUCAUGCCCCUUAUGACCUGGGCUACACACGUGCUACAAUGGAUGGUACAACGAGUUGCGAGACCGCGAGGUCAAGCUAAUCUCUUAAAGCCAUUCUCAGUUCGGACUGUAGGCUGCAACUCGCCUACACGAAGUCGGAAUCGCUAGUAAUCGCGGAUCAGCACGCCGCGGUGAAUACGUUCCCGGGCCUUGUACACACCGCCCGUCACACCAUGAGAGUUUGUAACACCCGAAGCCGGUGGCGUAACCCUUUUAGGGAGCGAGCCGUCUAAGGUGGGACAAAUGAUUA
Molecule: ribosomal RNA, 1483 nt
Filed under: Lacticaseibacillus casei
Lineage: Bacteria; Bacillati; Bacillota; Bacilli; Lactobacillales; Lactobacillaceae
Description: bacterial SSU rRNA
Rfam family: Bacterial small subunit ribosomal RNA
Source: RNAcentral